UUGCUUUAAGUUUUCUGUCUUGAUGCUUUAAUAUUUUCCUUGAUCUACCAGUAUGCUUGCCUUUUACAAUCUUCCAAUGUUGGUUGUACUUGGUCCACAUUUUAGACACAGCUUACUGUGAACAACCAACAUCUUUUGCAACAUUCUGUGAUGAUUUAUCUUCUUUAAGAAAUCUGACAAUCCUCUCAUUUGUUUUAACUGCGGAUGUUAGUUUUGGAAAUGGAAAUUUACAGGGUGAUUCCAUAAUUUUUUCCUCAGAAUUGAGUGAUUCCAUAAUUUUUGCCCUCUGCUUGAUCUCAAAAAGCAAUUGUUAUUGACAAUUCUUUUUCUUCAUUUCCUUUAAUGUUUCUUAAAGCCAAAAAGUUGCAAUUUUAAAUGACUUCAGUUUUGUGGCAUGUCUGUGAUCUGCUUUUUUCUACAAAAUUAAACAACUGAUGGAACAUCCUCCAAGACUGGUGAUUCCAUAAUUUUUGCCAGGGGUUGUGGAACAUGGGCUCUUAGAAGAAUGCAACUGGACUUAAGACUUACUUGGGAACUACAACAGUGUGUGAAUAUUUUCAUGAUGAUUUUGAGCUUUGACUCUUAGUGUUUUUACUUUGGCACACUUUUGCAAUGCAAACCUGCCAAAGUUUACAGGAACGCAGAGACUUCUUGUCUCUGCCAUCUUGAACCAAUGCAUCCAGCAGAUCAUCACAGCUCCACAUCCUGUAGCGACCUCCCUCUCACUACGACAAAGGCUAUGCAAGUGUCAUUUUCCUUCUGCUAAACAGGUCGGCCCAGGGUAACAACAGCAGUUGAUGACAGAAACAUUGUGAGAGCUGUGAAGAAAAACCCAAAAACAACAGUCACUGACAUCACUGCCAACCUCCACAGGGCAGGGGAGAAAGUGUCACAAUCCACUGUUCGAAGAAGACUUCGAGAGAAGGAAUAUAGAGGCCAUACCACAAGAUGCAAACAACUCACCAGCAAAAAGCAUCGGAAGGCCAGAUUGGAUUUUGCAAAGAAGUACAGAGAUCAGCCACAAAAGUUUUGAAACAAAGUUUUAAUGGACUGAUGAGACCAAGAUUAACCUCUAUGAUGAAAAGGCCAAAGUAUGGAGAAAGAAAGGAUCUGCUUAUGAUCCAAAACAUACAAGCUCAUCUGUGAAACAUGGUGGAGGUAGUGUCAUGGUUUGGGCUUGCAUGGCUGCUUCUGGAACGGGCUCACUAGUCUUUAUUGAUGAUGUAGCUCAUGGUGGUAGCAGCAGAAUGAAUUCUGAUGUCUACAAAACCAUUUUGUCUGGCAAUUUACAGAAAAAUGCAUCCAAACUAAUGGGGAGAUGCUUCAUCAUGCAACAAGACAAUGACCCAAAGCACACUGCCAACACAACAAAGGACUUCAUCAGUGGAAAAAAGUGGAAGGUCUUGGACUGGCCAAGUCAAUCACUGGACCUUAACCCAAUAGAACAUGCAUUUUACCUCUUCAAGAGGAGACAAAGGAUAAACCCCCAGAAACAAAAAAGACCUGAAAGAGGCUGCAGUAAAGGCCUGGAACAGCAUUUGUCAUGAAGAAUGCAACAGCCUGGUGAAGUCAAUGGGUCGCAGGCUCGAUGCAGUUAUUGCAAGAAAGGGUUAUGCCCAGGGACGGCUGGUAUAAAUGGGGUAACAGGGCUAAGCCCUACCAGGCCAACACAAAAAAAGAUGAGAAAAUUAUUUUUCAAAUAACUUACAACAGAUUGUUCUCAGUUUAGGUGAAAACAAAGGUAGCAACAGCACCAAUCAGUCAAAAGAAAAACAUAGAAUAUCUCUUUUUUGUGUGUGGGCCGGUGGGGCGCCAUGGGGGUCUGCGAUGGCCCGUUCUGCUGUGCAGGCCUUCGGGCUCUAGCUGUGUCGGGGGGGGGGUCGCUCCAGGUUCCUGGACUGGCUCUCUGUUCGGUAGCUCCUGCAGGGGGGCGGUGUGGGCAUCCUUGGGCUGGAGGAGACAGUUCCCUCCUUUUGGUGGAGGUUUUCAUGCAUGCCAGACACACCACACCGGCAUCUACCAAAACUCAAUAGAGUUUGUUCCUCCGGUCGCUGAGUCAGUGGAGGCUGCUGGGUUAGUGUCUGUGGAUCUCACUCUGCUUCAUCUAUCCUUCCUGCGGCCUCCUGACAUCUUCAUGAUUGAGCCUGUUGGGAUUCUGUCGUAUCUGGUGUUUGUGAAGGGUCUUAGAUUUGUAACUGGUUUGAAGGUGUGAAUUAAAGAGCACAAAUAAAUAGAAUGUACAUUUUUUCUCAGAA
This is a long non-coding RNA of Acanthochromis polyacanthus (spiny chromis), 2255 nucleotides long. RefSeq lists it as uncharacterized. The transcript has 2 exons. Lineage: Eukaryota; Metazoa; Chordata; Actinopteri; Pomacentridae. The record is from RefSeq and is a predicted model, not a curated record.